AAGGAGUCUAACAUGCUUGCGAGUAUUUGGGUGUCAAACCCGGAUGCGUAAUGAAAGUGAAUGGAGGUGGGAAGCGCAAGCUGCACCAUCGACCGAUCUGGAUUUUCUAAGAUGGAUUUGAGUAAGAGCACGUAUGUUGGGACCCGAAAGAUGGUGAACUAUGCCUGAAUAGGGCGAAGCCAGAGGAAACUCUGGUGGAGGCUCGUAGCGGUUCUGACGUGCAAAUCGAUCGUCAAAUUUGGGUAUAGGGGCGAAAGACUAAUCGAACCAUCUAGUGGCUGGUUCCUGC
RNAcentral lists this unclassified non-coding RNA (289 nucleotides) under uncultured fungus. RNAcentral's name for it is "partial contains 5.8S rRNA, ITS2 and 28S rRNA". It matches the Rfam family "Eukaryotic large subunit ribosomal RNA", at positions 668 to 961 of the family's 3401-position model. Lineage: Eukaryota; Fungi. The record is from RNAcentral.